RNAcentral lists this ribosomal RNA (287 nucleotides) under uncultured bacterium. RNAcentral's name for it is "partial 16S ribosomal RNA". It matches the Rfam family "Bacterial small subunit ribosomal RNA", at positions 28 to 312 of the family's 1533-position model. The record is from RNAcentral.
GACGAACGCUGGCGGCGUGCUUAACACAUGCAAGUCGAGCGGUAAGGCCCGUUUCGGGGUACGACGAGCGGCGAACGGGUGAGUAACACGUGGGUGACCUCGCCCUUAGCUCUGGGAUAAGCCUGGGAAACGUGGGUCUAAUACCGGAUAUGACUCCAUGACGCAUGUUGGUGGGGUGGAAAGCCUUGUGCGGCUAGGGAUGGGCCCGCGGCCUAUCAGCUUGUUGGUGGGGUGAUGGCCUACCAAGGCGACGACGGGUAGCCGGCCUGAGAGGGCGACCGGCCACA